UACGUAGGGACCUAGCGUUGUCCGGAAUCAUUGGGCGUAAAGCGCGCGUAGGCGGCCCGGUAAGUCCGUUGUAAAAGUCGAAGGCUCAACCUUCGAAAGCCGAUGGAUACUGCCGGGCUAGAGUCCGGAAGAGGCGAGUAGAAUUCCUGGUGUAGCGGUGGAAUGCGCAGAUAUCAGGAGGAAUACCCAUAGCGAGGGCAGCUCGCUGGGACGGUAGUGACGCUGAGGCGCGAAAGCGUGGGGAGCGAACAGG
RNAcentral lists this ribosomal RNA (253 nucleotides) under uncultured bacterium. RNAcentral's name for it is "partial 16S ribosomal RNA". It matches the Rfam family "Bacterial small subunit ribosomal RNA", at positions 524 to 776 of the family's 1533-position model. The record is from RNAcentral.